GCCGUCGUCGGCGACGGUGAUGUCGUCGGCGAUCCGGACGCCGUGGCCGAGGCGGUCGGCGCCGCACCACUGGAUCGCCUCCCAGAUCGACGGCA
RNAcentral lists this transfer RNA (95 nucleotides) under Actinomycetes bacterium. RNAcentral's name for it is "Actinomycetia bacterium tRNA-Arg(ccg)". Lineage: Bacteria; Bacillati; Actinomycetota; Actinomycetes. The record is from RNAcentral.